AGUGAACGCUGGCGGUAGGCCUAACACAUGCAAGUCGAACGGCAGCACAGUAAGAGCUUGCUCUUACGGGUGGCGAGUGGCGGACGGGUGAGGAAUACAUCGGAAUCUACUUUUUCGUGGGGGAUAACGUAGGGAAACUUACGCUAAUACCGCAUACGACCUACGGGUGAAAGCAGGGGAUCUUCGGACCUUGGGCGAUUGAAUGAGCCGAUGUCGGAUUAGCUAGUUGGCGGGGUAAAGGCCCACCAAGGCGACGAUCCGUAGCUGGUCUGAGAGGAUGAUCAGCCACACUGGAACUGAGACACGGUCCAGACUCCUACGGGAGGCAGCAGUGGGGAAUAUUGGACAAAGGGCGCAAGCCUGAUCCAGCCAUACUGCGUGGGUGAAGAAGGCCUUCGGAUUGUAAAGCCCUUUUGUUGGGGAAGAAAAGCAGCAGGUUAAUACCCCGCUGUUCUGACGGUACCCAAAGAAUAAGCACCGGCUAACUUCGUG
RNAcentral lists this ribosomal RNA (492 nucleotides) under uncultured bacterium. RNAcentral's name for it is "partial 16S ribosomal RNA". It matches the Rfam family "Bacterial small subunit ribosomal RNA", at positions 29 to 507 of the family's 1533-position model. The record is from RNAcentral.